UCUCUAACAUGUGCGCGAGUCAUUGGGCACGUACGAAACCCAGAGGCGCAAUGAAAGUAAAGGCCUUCCUUUCGGUUGGCCCAGGUAGGAUCCGUUGCCGACUCUCGGUCGCGGCGCACUACCGGCCCGUCUCGAUCGCCACGUCGAUGAGGCGGCGCUAGAGCGUACACGUUGGG
This 176-nucleotide ribosomal RNA is filed under the name Lumbricillus lineatus. Its description in RNAcentral is "partial large subunit ribosomal RNA". The record is from RNAcentral. Lineage: Eukaryota; Metazoa; Annelida; Clitellata; Enchytraeida; Enchytraeidae.